Long non-coding RNA from Dreissena polymorpha, 1283 nucleotides. RefSeq lists it as uncharacterized. Lineage: Eukaryota; Metazoa; Mollusca; Bivalvia; Myida; Dreissenidae. The transcript is spliced from 2 exons. The record is from RefSeq and is a predicted model, not a curated record.
CCUUAGUUUAAAAUCUGCCUAGUGCACAAUAUGAAGAUGCACUAUUUGAUAUUCACAAAGUUCGUCGAAUACUAUGGACGCUCGGAGGUGUCGUAAAUUUCCAUGUCGUACUUUUCGAUUAACUGGCUAGGUGGCUCACGGUUUGCCUGUGUAUAAAGGUUUUCACAGUGAUACUUGGAGUGAUAUUAUAUAACAUUGAUGGUAAGUGGUUUGUUUAAGCGCUUCUCAACUUUUCGACCCGGGUUCAAUCCCCGUUCCCAGAAGCAUGUGAGUUUGGUGGUCAUCAUACCGAACAGUUUCCUCAGGGUACUCCGGCUUCCCCCAUUACACAAGACAAUACCAAAAAUAAUAAGAACCAACAGAGGUCCUUCGAAGGUCCGGAAAGACGUGCGACUGAGUGACGGAAUAUUCACAUAGGGUCUUUGUAAACAAAAGGUCACAACUUUAAUAAUAAAACUAAAAGUCAUUGAAGGUAGAAGUCGGUACAAGCCCAGAAGCUUAGUUUGGAUCAGAAGCCAUAUUAAGAUAGUGAACGAUUUCGUAAAAUUCCAGAGCUUCGCUUACACAAGGGUGGGCUAAAUUUAGGCCAGGAGCCUCAUUGAGGCAUAUGUUUUCCGAAACCAAGAGCUUCCUUAACAGUUCGGUCAGCGUUAUUGAAGCCUGAAGUCCCCCUCCACAUGUUGCACUGUGUAUAUGUAAGCAACUGAAUUUGUUUUUGUAUAGCAAUCAAUCGAAGGCAAAAUAGCCACUGAAAUUGUGAGGCUUGCAAAUAGUGUGCGUUGGCGGCCUCUGUAAGUCGGCCUCGUGCUUCACUGUUUUUACAAUAGGGGCUUUUCCAGAAUCAUCAAUUAAAAUAAACUAUACAAUUACGUGAAACAUGACGCUGCAUCUAAGAUAUAAAGCAUAGCAUCACAACAAAACUGGAAUACAAUAAUGGUAUUCGACUGUGAUAUUAUAUAAUAAGUUAUUGAAGAAUUUUUCACAGUGUAAUAUUUGAAAUCAAGAAAGCCGAAUUCCUUAAGGCGCUCAUCUGGAACCCGUAAAAAGCUGUUCUAAUUUUGUUUUAAACAUAUUAUGAAACUUGUCACAAAUCCCGCAUUAUCCUUCAGGCAUGUCUUUCGCACGAAAUACACUUUUCACUCGACCCAGAUAUCGUUUGUAAACUGUAAACUAACCAAGUAUACAUUGUUUAAUUCAUUAAUCAGCUCAUCUCCGCACUUGUUGCAUAUUCAGAAUAAGAACGUAAUAAAAAUUGUCACAAUAACAAGCAUACAAACAAAGCA